Chrysemys picta bellii (western painted turtle) is the source of this 163-nucleotide unclassified non-coding RNA. The record is from Ensembl. NCBI's taxonomy places the organism in Eukaryota, Metazoa, Chordata, Testudines, Emydidae.
UUAACAGCUCUGGAACCAGGAAUCUUCUGUAAAGAGAAAAGGUAGUAGCAGCAGUACAAACUUUCCCACAGUGCUCCACCAAUGUGCCUCAUUCCUGAACUUCAGUGCCCAAAUUUUGGGGUUGGAAGAUCACUUAUUCUCUGUGCCCUGUUCCUUGGCCUGU